AUUGAACGCUGGCGGCAUGCUUUACACAUGCAAGUCGAACGGUGACAGGCCGCAAGGUGCUGACGAGUGGCGAACGGGUGAGUAAUGCAUCGGAACGUGCCCAGUCGUGGGGGAUAACUACUCGAAAGAGUAGCUAAUACCGCAUACGAUCUAUGGAUGAAAGCGGGGGACCGUAAGGCCUCGCGCGAUUGGAGCGGCCGAUGUCAGAUUAGGUAGUUGGUGGGGUAAAGGCUCACCAAGCCAACGAUCUGUAGCUGGUCUGAGAGGACGACCAGCCACACUGGGACUGAGACACGGCCCAGACUCCUACGGGAGGCAGCAGUGGGGAAUUUUGGACAAUGGGCGCAAGCCUGAUCCAGCAAUGCCGCGUGCAGGAAGAAGGCCUUCGGGUUGUAAACUGCUUUUGUACGGAACGAAACGGCUCUGGUUAAUACCCGGGGCUAAUGACGGUACCGUAAGAAUAAGCACCGGCUAACUACGUG
This 482-nucleotide ribosomal RNA is filed under the name uncultured bacterium. Its description in RNAcentral is "partial 16S ribosomal RNA". It matches the Rfam family "Bacterial small subunit ribosomal RNA", at positions 30 to 507 of the family's 1533-position model. The record is from RNAcentral.